UGGCGCCUACGGGGCGCAGCAGUGGGGGAUAUUGCACAAUGGGGGGAACCCUGAUGCAGCGACGCCGCGUGAAGGAAGAAGGCUUUCGGGUUGUAAACUUCUUUUGACAGGGAAGAGCAGAAGACGGUACCUGUCGAAUAAGCCACGGCUAACUACGUGCCAGCAGCCGCGGUAAUACGUAGGUGGCAAGCGUUGUCCGGAUUUACUGGGUGUAAAGGGCGUGUAGCCGGGCUGACAAGUCAGAUGUGAAAUCCGGGGGCUCAACCCCCGAACUGCAUUUGAAACUGUUGGUCUUGAGUAUCGGG
This 305-nucleotide ribosomal RNA is filed under the name uncultured bacterium. RNAcentral describes it as "bacterial SSU rRNA". It matches the Rfam family "Bacterial small subunit ribosomal RNA", at positions 333 to 653 of the family's 1533-position model. The record is from RNAcentral.